Molecule: unclassified non-coding RNA, 48 nt
Filed under: Komagataella phaffii CBS 7435
Lineage: Eukaryota; Fungi; Ascomycota; Pichiomycetes; Pichiales; Pichiaceae
Source: RNAcentral
UCUUUCCCCAAAACAAAGUUAACACUUCGUCCUAUAAUAAGUAUUGUC